Molecule: ribosomal RNA, 265 nt
Filed under: uncultured prokaryote
Description: partial 16S ribosomal RNA
Rfam family: Bacterial small subunit ribosomal RNA
Source: RNAcentral
UACGGAGGAUCCGAGCGUUAUCCGGAUUUAUUGGGCUUAAAGGGUGCGCAGGCGGGAGAUUAAGUCGGCGGUGAAAUUUUGCAGCUCAACUGUAAAAGUGCCUUCGAAACUGGUUUCCUUGAGUGUAGAUGAAGUAGGCGGAAUUUGUGGUGUAGCGGUGAAAUGCAUAGAUAUCACGAGGAACUCCGAUUGCGCAGGCAGCUUACUAAACUACUACUGACGCUCAGGCACGAAGGCGUGGGGAUCAAACAGGAUUAGAUACCCU